RNAcentral lists this ribosomal RNA (459 nucleotides) under uncultured bacterium. RNAcentral describes it as "partial 16S ribosomal RNA". It matches the Rfam family "Bacterial small subunit ribosomal RNA", at positions 28 to 507 of the family's 1533-position model. The record is from RNAcentral.
GAUGAACGCUGGCGGCGCGCCUAACACAUGCAAGUCGAAGGGCACCCCUCCUCGGAGGGAAGCGAGUGGCGAACGGCUGAGUAACACGUGGAGAACCUGCCCCCUCCCCCGGGAUAGCCGCCCGAAAGGACGGGUAAUACCGGAUACCCCGGGGUGCCGCAUGGCACCCCGGCUAAAGCCCCGACGGGAGGGGAUGGCUCCGCGGCCCAUCAGGUAGACGGCGGGGUGACGGCCCACCGUGCCGACAACGGGUAGCCGGGUUGAGAGACCGACCGGCCAGAUUGGGACUGAGACACGGCCCAGACUCCUACGGGAGGCAGCAGUGGGGAAUCUUGCGCAAUGGGGGGAACCCUGACGCAGCGACGCCGCGUGCGGGACGGAGGCCUUCGGGUCGUAAACCGCUUUCAGCAGGGAAGAGUCAAGACUGUACCUGCAGAAGAAGCCCCGGCUAACUACGUG